RNAcentral lists this ribosomal RNA (468 nucleotides) under uncultured bacterium. RNAcentral's name for it is "partial 16S ribosomal RNA". It matches the Rfam family "Bacterial small subunit ribosomal RNA", at positions 28 to 507 of the family's 1533-position model. The record is from RNAcentral.
GACGAACGCUGGCGGCGUGCUUAACACAUGCAAGUCGAACGGAAAGGCCCUGCUUUUGUGGGGUGCUCGAGUGGCGAACGGGUGAGUAACACGUGAGUAACCUGCCCUUGACUUUGGGAUAACUUCGGGAAACUGGGGCUAAUACCGGAUAGGAGCUCCUGCUGCAUGGUGGGGGUUGGAAAGUUUCGGCGGUUGGGGAUGGACUCGCGGCUUAUCAGCUUGUUGGUGGGGUAGUGGCUUACCAAGGCUUUGACGGGUAGCCGGCCUGAGAGGGUGACCGGCCACAUUGGGACUGAGAUACGGCCCAGACUCCUACGGGAGGCAGCAGUGGGGAAUAUUGCACAAUGGGCGGAAGCCUGAUGCAGCAACGACGCGUGCGGGAUGACGGCCUUCGGGUUGUAAACCGCUUGCGCCUGUGACGAAGCGUGAGUGACGGUAAUGGGUAAAGAAGCACCGGCUAACUACGUG